UUUUAAAAAAAAUUGAAUUCGUUAACAGAAAAUAAUAAAUUAUUUAUUUAUAGUAAAGUUAAAAAGAAAUAUGAAAUUGAGCCUUAUUUAAUAAAAAAUAACUCUGAAAUCAGGAAAUGUUUUACUAAAUUAAGGGUAAGUGACCAUAUUUUGGAAAUCGAAAGGGGCAGAUACAGAAAUAUAAAAAAAAGAGGAACGUUUAUGUCAACAUUGUUUUUUAAAUAAAAUAGACGAUGAAGAACACUUUCUGUUUGUAUGUAAAAAAAAAUGAAAAAUUGAG
This 280-nucleotide long non-coding RNA is filed under the name Mytilus galloprovincialis (Mediterranean mussel). Lineage: Eukaryota; Metazoa; Mollusca; Bivalvia; Mytilida; Mytilidae. The record is from RNAcentral.